This 253-nucleotide ribosomal RNA is filed under the name uncultured bacterium. RNAcentral's name for it is "partial 16S ribosomal RNA". It matches the Rfam family "Bacterial small subunit ribosomal RNA", at positions 524 to 776 of the family's 1533-position model. The record is from RNAcentral.
UACAGAGGUCUCAAGCGUUGUUCGGAUUCAUUGGGCGUAAAGGGUGCGUAGGCGGGCAGGUAAGUCAGUGGUGAAAUCUCCGAGCUUAACUCGGAAACUGCCUUUGAUACUAUCUGUCUUGAAUAUGGUGGAGGUAAGCGGAAUAUGUCAUGUAGCGGUGAAAUGCUUAGAUAUGACAUAGAACACCUAUUGCGAAGGCAGCUUACUACGCCUAUAUUGACGCUGAGGCACGAAAGCGUGGGGAUCAAACAGG